RNAcentral lists this long non-coding RNA (358 nucleotides) under Gallus gallus (chicken). Lineage: Eukaryota; Metazoa; Chordata; Aves; Galliformes; Phasianidae. The record is from RNAcentral.
CAAGCAUGGAAUGGAAGCGACUAAAGCCUCUCUCUAACACGUGAUUGAUCCCGUUAACAUCAUGCUAGGGACUGGGAGUCUGGAAUGGAACCAGCGGGAUCACGCUGCUUCUCAAACACUGCAGCCUGAAUUCUUGCACCAAGCCGUGCCCCACACAUACAGCACUAACUUAAGAGACACUUUUUAAGCAUCAGCAUUGCCACAAACAGUUGGGUUGCACUGAACUGCAGGCAGUGAUGUUUCAUACCCAGGAGCUCCCAGCAGCCCUCUGCGAGCACAAGGCUGGGCUUGAGUGUGAGCACACACGUACUCUCAGAAGCCGGGAGCAGUAACAUGAGGACUCCAACCCAGAUUUCAG